AGCGGUGGUGACGGCGGUGCCGGAGGUUGUCCUUGGCAGGUUUUCCUCGGCGCUUCUCCAUGGAGGAGGCGGUGCGAACGGCUUCAGCCCCGAAUGCUCGCAUCUCCCACUGGACGGCGACGAAGGCGGUGGCCGUGCGAGCGCAGGACUGGGCGGCCUGUGUGGGGGUGUGAGCCGCGGUGCCCAAGGCUGCGCCGGCGAGGGGAAGCCGCGCGGCCGGCCGGCCGACUAGGGUGAGGUCGCCACUCCUUCCUUUCAGGCAAGCGCGAAGGGGCUGACUUGGUGGCGAGCCAGCCCGCCUUGUGUCGGAGAAGGGUUCUUCGGGCAACUUUCCUUUCCGGGUGUUCUGAAGCGGUUUUCCUGUAAUCCUCAGUGAGGAAACCCACCGUGAAUCGGAUUGCCGUUCAGUCCCACGGAAGCCUGGCUCGUUGGCCAUGUCGGGGACGCAUGUUCAUUAAGUUCAUUAAAAUAAUUUCAUUUGUCUUGGUUUGAAGACUGCUUCAUUCUGCCUCUAGUACCAGCGGUUUCUCUGUUCUGUGAUCAAUGUGAUUCACAGGAACUCCUUAAGUAACAA
Molecule: long non-coding RNA, 574 nt
Filed under: Homo sapiens (human)
Lineage: Eukaryota; Metazoa; Chordata; Mammalia; Primates; Hominidae
Description: non-protein coding lnc-NIPA1-3:4
Source: RNAcentral